This 258-nucleotide ribosomal RNA is filed under the name Arachidicoccus rhizosphaerae. RNAcentral describes it as "16S rRNA. Bacterial SSU". It matches the Rfam family "Bacterial small subunit ribosomal RNA", at positions 1 to 250 of the family's 1533-position model. Lineage: Bacteria; Pseudomonadati; Bacteroidota; Chitinophagia; Chitinophagales; Chitinophagaceae. The record is from RNAcentral.
UAACAAUGGAGAGUUUGAUCCUGGCUCAGGAUGAACGCUAGCGGCAGGCUUAAUACAUGCAAGUCGAGGGGUAACAGUUGAGUAGCAAUACUUGAGCUGACGACCGGCAAACGGGUGCGGAACACGUGCGAAACUUUCCCUUAUCUGGGGGAUAGCCCGAAGAAAUUCGGAUUAAUACCCCAUAAUAUAUUAGAGUGGCAUCGCUUUAAUAUUAAAACUCCGGUGGAUAAGGAUGGUCGCGCGUAUGAUUAGGUAGUU